This 207-nucleotide unclassified non-coding RNA is filed under the name Hevea brasiliensis (rubber tree). Lineage: Eukaryota; Viridiplantae; Streptophyta; Magnoliopsida; Malpighiales; Euphorbiaceae. The record is from RNAcentral.
CAGAGGUUUAUUUCACGAUUGCCAGUCUCCUAUGGAAUUCCACUUUCCGUAGUGCAGCAGUUUGGGUCACCUCAAAAAGAAAGAUGUGAUGCUUGGAGUGUUGCUCCAGGAGUACCUUUUCAUCCUUUUCCUCCUUUGCCUACAUAUCCCCAUGAUAGAAGAGAUCCUAUAUCUCCUGCAGAUAAUGCUGCUGGAAUUUUUAGCAAG